Molecule: long non-coding RNA, 1435 nt
Organism: Bombus pascuorum
Lineage: Eukaryota; Metazoa; Arthropoda; Insecta; Hymenoptera; Apidae
Exons: 3
Source: RefSeq, a predicted model, not a curated record
GUGUCGUACAACGUCACAGAUAAUAUCUGUGGUCUCGAACGCUUUGCGAAAUACAUUCUGUAAUUUUGUAGGAAUUAUCGAUGGACAUAUGAAACGUCCCAUGAGCUUCACCACACCAAACUUGUGAAGUACGUCUCUUACUUUCGGACUACUGCUCAGAGAAUCUAAAACUUUUGCACAGCCUAUGGCAACCGCAACUAAUUCCUUGUUGGUUUCGUUCAACUCAUUGUACGAUGUUCGAAGAAUAGAAUCUGGUUCGUCAUCUGUACUUUCUUCCUCCUGUUUUUCGCUGAUGUAACGGACUCGAGGACCGAAUGGUUGUCCAGUGACUGCUGAUAUUAGUGGCUUCGAUGGUUCUUCCGGUUCGAUCACUUCCAGCAUAUCCGGCUCGAUUCUUUAUUCGAAAAGAAAAAAAAAAGGAGAAAAUCAAAAUGAAAUGUCAUAAUUGUUGAAAUAAAAUCAUAGGUUUCUUUAAUUAAGCGAUUAAACGCAUAAUGCAAUUAUUUAAUUGCGAAAUAUCGUGAUAUUAUAAAUACUUACAUAUGUUAAAUACUAAGGCUGUGAGAUAAAAAAUAUUAAAAAAGAAAUAACUCUGUGAAACGAGGGCUCUGGAACAAAAGGUAUUAAAAAAUAAAUAGAAGCACGAGUGUUGCAAACGUUAUAUAAAAUUUGUUUUAGCACUUUGAUGCGUUACAAAAUGAAAAUGAAAUAUUUAUGAGAUGAUUGAGAUUAUAAAACGCACCGUUUUUUAUUUACUCGGAAACAUCUCAUUUUUCAAUUAUUAGUUUAUCAAGUUUGACAAUAAAUAAGUAACCAAACGUCAUUUACCACCAAGUAUUUUUAUAGACACGUUAAUAUAGUACAAUACUAUAUAGUUAAAUAUUAUAAUUUGUGUUUGAAGUACAGUGAUUCCAAACUUACGUUGGUGGCGGUUCGAUGGAUAUUUUUUUGACAUCUUUUUUUCUUUUCGGUGGCAUAAUCUUCUAUCUCUGAUUACAAGAAACGAUUAAAACGUUGAACACCUUGUUUCGUGUAGAUAGGAUAAAGUACCCUCUUUGUUCUGGAUACUUGGAUUAAGAAAUUUGUUAAGCUCCUUGCGCACGCAGCUAUCGAUCAAACAAUUCAUUACCAUAUACAGCUCAUGUAGGCAUCUGUUCUGCGAAUGAUAUAAAGUUAAUUUUAUUUAAUUUUCUUUCUUAUGAUACUUAUUUAUACGUCUAAAUAGUUAUGUGUAUAUAUAUUGUAAAUGUACUUUACUUAGUAACUUCUUCCAUAAUCUUUAUCAAUAGAUGUAUUUUUGUUUGAAAUAUCUUCGACGCGCAUUUUUAAUUUUAUCUAGUUAAAUUACAUGCUUAGUAUUACAAUACAAAAAAUUGAUCACUCGCUCGAUCGAUCAAAUCAUUGUUUACUGACCUGAAUAAAUCGAUUAAUCGGA